Molecule: unclassified non-coding RNA, 377 nt
Filed under: uncultured Simkaniaceae bacterium
Lineage: Bacteria; Pseudomonadati; Chlamydiota; Chlamydiia; Parachlamydiales; Simkaniaceae
Description: contains 16S-23S intergenic spacer region
Source: RNAcentral
UCCCAGUUAACCUGGGCAGUCUCAUUAGAGUCCCCACCUUAAAUGUUGGCAACUAAUGAUAAGGGUUGCGCUCGUUGCGGGACUUAACCCAACACCUCACGGCACGAGCUGACGACAGCCAUGCAGCACCUAUACAGAAGUCCUUACGGAAAAUGUCAUUUCUGACAUCGCCCUCUGCAUUUCGAGCCUGGGUAAGGUUCUUCGCGUUGCAUCGAAUUAAACCACAUGCUCCACUGCUUGUGCGGGCCCCCGUCAAUUCUUUUGAGUUUCACCCUUGCGAGCGUACUCCUCAGGCGGUAUACUUAUCGCGUUCGCUUCGACACAGUCAGGGUUGAGCCUAACUACAUCAAGUAUACAUCGUUUACGGCAAGGACUAC